This 93-nucleotide small nucleolar RNA is filed under the name Arabidopsis suecica. RNAcentral describes it as "snoR1". It matches the Rfam family "Small nucleolar RNA snoR1". From Rfam's summary of the family: snoR1 is a member of the C/D class of snoRNA which contain the C (UGAUGA) and D (CUGA) box motifs. Most of the members of the box C/D family function in directing site-specific 2'-O-methylation of substrate RNAs. The record is from RNAcentral. Lineage: Eukaryota; Viridiplantae; Streptophyta; Magnoliopsida; Brassicales; Brassicaceae.
GGCGAUGAUGAUCAAUGCUUAAUUUCUGACACCUCUUGUAUGAGAAGAGAUUGAUAACCUCUUCUUUGAGCACAUUAUGCAAUAUUCUGAGCC